RNAcentral lists this ribosomal RNA (434 nucleotides) under uncultured bacterium. Its description in RNAcentral is "partial 16S ribosomal RNA". It matches the Rfam family "Bacterial small subunit ribosomal RNA", at positions 29 to 507 of the family's 1533-position model. The record is from RNAcentral.
AGCGAACGCUGGCGGCAGGCCUAACACAUGCAAGUCGAACGAACCUUUCGGGGUUAGUGGCGGACGGGUGAGUAACACGUGGGAACGUGCCUUUAGGUUCGGAAUAACUCAGGGAAACUUGUGCUAAUACCGAAUGUGCCCUUCGGGGGAAAGAUUUAUCGCCUUUAGAGCGGCCCGCGUCUGAUUAGCUAGUUGGUUGAGGUAAUGGCUCACCAAGGCGACGAUCAGUAGCUGGUCUGAGAGGAUGAUCAGCCACAUUGGGACUGAGACACGGCCCAAACUCAUACGGGAGGCAGCAGUGGGGAAUAAAGCGCAAUGGGCGAAAGACUGACAAAGCCAUGCCGCGGGAAUGAUGAAGGUGUUAGGAGUGGAAAAUUCUUUCACCGGGGACGAUAAUGACGGUACCCGGAGAAGAAGCCCCGGCUAACUUCGUG